UGAGGAAUAUUGGUCAAUGGAGGAAACUCUGAACCAGCCAAGUCGCGUGAAGGAAGAAUGUCCUAAGGAUUGUAAACUUCUUUAGCGAGCGAGUAAGGACUUCCACGUGAUGGGAGUUUGAAAGUAGCUCGAGAAUAAGUAUCGGCUAACUCCGUGCCAGCAGCCGCGGUAAUACGGAGGAUACGAGAGUCAUCCGGAUUUAUUGGGUUUAAAGGGUGCGCAGGUGGUCCUGCAAGUCAGUGGUGAAAAGCUGAGGCUCAACCUCAGCCUUGCCGUGGGAGCUGCAAGAAUUGAGAGUACAUGAUGUGGGCGGAGUGCGUAGUGUAGCGGUGAAAUGCAUAGAUAUUACGCAGAACUCCGAUUGCGAAGGCGGCUCACAAAGGUAUAUCUGACACUGAGGCACGAAAGAGUGGGGAGCGAACAGGA
Molecule: ribosomal RNA, 426 nt
Filed under: Fusobacteriota bacterium
Lineage: Bacteria; Fusobacteriati; Fusobacteriota
Description: Fusobacteria bacterium partial 16S ribosomal RNA
Rfam family: Bacterial small subunit ribosomal RNA
Source: RNAcentral